Molecule: ribosomal RNA, 480 nt
Filed under: uncultured bacterium
Lineage: Bacteria
Description: partial 16S ribosomal RNA
Rfam family: Bacterial small subunit ribosomal RNA
Source: RNAcentral
GAUGAACGCUGGCGGCGUGCUUAACACAUGCAAGUCGAACGAAGCAUUUAAGACAGAUUACUUCGGUUUGAAGUCUUUUACGACUGAGUGGCGGACGGGUGAGUAACGCGUGGGUAACCUGCCUCAUACAGGGGGAUAGCAGCUGGAAACGGCUGGUAAUACCGCAUAAGCGCACAGUACCACAUGGUACAGUGUGAAAAACUCCGGUGGUAUGAGAUGGACCCGCGUCUGAUUAGCUUGUUGGCGGGGUAACGGCCCACCAAGGCGACGAUCAGUAGCCGACCGGAGAGGGUGACCGGCCACAUUGGGACUGAGACACGGCCCAGACUCCUACGGGAGGCAGCAGUGGGGAAUAUUGCACAAUGGAGGAAACUCUGAUGCAGCGACGCCGCGUGAGUGAAGAAGUAGUUCGCUAUGUAAAGCUCUAUCAGCAGGGAAGAUAGUGACGGUACCUGACUAAGAAGCUCCGGCUAAAUACGU